RNAcentral lists this long non-coding RNA (416 nucleotides) under Mytilus galloprovincialis (Mediterranean mussel). Lineage: Eukaryota; Metazoa; Mollusca; Bivalvia; Mytilida; Mytilidae. The record is from RNAcentral.
GUUGAAUCAACUUAAAUCAUUGUUUUAUACAAUAUACAAUGUAUAUUCACUUUUACUACCAACUGAUAAAUUAAAACAAUCUUUACCAUUCAGUGAUAACAAGCACUUUUUUACAUUUUAAUAUUUUAUGAUGUAUUUAAAUGAGUAGUUAUUGUUGCAAACUCCAUUAGAAAUUUGAAUUGAGAUCAGUUUUGGAAAAAGGGAAAGGGGGAUGUGAAAAAAAAAUGGGGGGGGGGGUUAAAUUUUUCUCAUUUCAGAUUUCAUAAAUAAAAAGAAAAUUUCUUCAAACAUUUUUUUGAGAGGAUUAAUAUUCAACAGCAUAGUGAAUUGCUCAAAGGCAAAAAAAAAAUUUUAAGUUCAUUAGACCACAUUCAUUCUGUGUCAGAAACCUAUGCUGUGUCAACAAUCCAAAUUUA